AUAUCAAUAAGCGGAGGAAAAGAAACCAACAGGGAUUGCCUUAGUAACGGCGAGUGAAGCGGCAAAAGCUCAAAUUUGAAAUCUGGCACCUUCGGUGUCCGAGUUGUAAUUUGAAGAAGGUAACUUUGGAGUUGGCUCUUGUCUAUGUUCCUUGGAACAGGACGUCACAGAGGGUGAGAAUCCCGUGCGAUGAGAUGCCCAAUUCUAUGUAAAGUGCUUUCGAAGAGUCGAGUUGUUUGGGAAUGCAGCUCUAAGUGGGUGGUAAAUUCCAUCUAAAGCUAAAUAUUGGCGAGAGACCGAUAGCGAACAAGUACAGUGAUGGAAAGAUGAAAAGAACUUUGAAAAGAGAGUGAAAAAGUACGUGAAAUUGUUGAAAGGGAAGGGCUUGAGAUCAGACUUGGUAUUUUGCGAUCCUUUCCUUCUUGGUUGGGUUCCUCGCAGCUUACUGGGCCAGCAUCGGUUUGGAUGGUAGGAUAAUGACUAAGGAAUGUGGCUCUACUUCGGUGGAGUGUUAUAGCCUUGGUUGAUACUGCCUGUCUAGACCGAGGACUGCGUCUUUGACUAGGAUGCUGGCAUAAUGA
This 581-nucleotide ribosomal RNA is filed under the name Debaryomyces fabryi. Its description in RNAcentral is "eukaryotic LSU rRNA". It matches the Rfam family "Eukaryotic large subunit ribosomal RNA", at positions 40 to 637 of the family's 3401-position model. Lineage: Eukaryota; Fungi; Ascomycota; Pichiomycetes; Serinales; Debaryomycetaceae. The record is from RNAcentral. RNAcentral also lists the same sequence under 1 other name.